CGAUCUGUUGCGGGCAGAUGAAGUGGAUGUGCGUGUCGAUACCGCCGGCGGUGAUGAUCAUGCCUUCGCCGGCAAUCACCUCGGUGCCGGCGCCGAUGGCGAUCGUGACGCCGGGCUGGAUGUCCGGGUUGCCGGCCUUUCCGACGGCAGCGAUGCGCCCCGCCUUGAUCGCGAUGUCGGCCUUGACGAUGCCCCAGUGGUCGAGGAUCAGCGCAUUGGUGAUCACCGUGUCGGCCACCUCAUGCGAGAGUUUCUGGCCCUGGCCCAUGCCGUCGCG
This 277-nucleotide small RNA is filed under the name uncultured Niveibacterium sp. RNAcentral's name for it is "5' ureB small RNA". It matches the Rfam family "5' ureB small RNA". The record is from RNAcentral. Lineage: Bacteria; Pseudomonadati; Pseudomonadota; Betaproteobacteria; Rhodocyclales; Rhodocyclaceae.